Molecule: small nuclear RNA, 166 nt
Filed under: Papio anubis (olive baboon)
Lineage: Eukaryota; Metazoa; Chordata; Mammalia; Primates; Cercopithecidae
Description: U1 spliceosomal RNA (ENSPANG00000045528.1)
Rfam family: U1 spliceosomal RNA
About the family: U1 is a small nuclear RNA (snRNA) component of the spliceosome (involved in pre-mRNA splicing). Its 5' end forms complementary base pairs with the 5' splice junction, thus defining the 5' donor site of an intron. There are significant differences in sequence and secondary structure between metazoan and yeast U1 snRNAs, the latter being much longer (568 nucleotides as compared to 164 nucleotides in human).
Source: Rfam by way of RNAcentral
AUACUUACCUGGCAGGGGAGAUACCAUGAUCUCAAAGGUGGUUUUCCCAGGGCAAGGCUCAUCAGCCAUUGCACUCCAAUGUGCUGAUCCCUGCAAUUUCCUCAAAUGUAGGAAACCCAACGGCAUAAUGUGUAGCAGUGGGAGACUGUGUUCACGCUUUCCUCUG